UUUAAAUGCAAUUAUAAGCUUCCAUGCUCAACUUUGACUGUCGUCUUAUUUAAAAUUAUCUUAUGAUUCUUAUUUUAUUGUUAUGAGAUGAUAAAAUAUGAACAAUACUUUAUGCGUGACAUAUGUUUUUAAUUUUUUUAAAAAAAUUUCAAAUAAAAUGGACUGUUAAAGUUGUGCACGGAAAAUCAUGGCUGCACUUAAA
Molecule: non-coding RNA, 202 nt
Organism: Oryza glaberrima (African rice)
Lineage: Eukaryota; Viridiplantae; Streptophyta; Magnoliopsida; Poales; Poaceae
Source: Rfam